Long non-coding RNA from Melospiza georgiana, 531 nucleotides. RefSeq lists it as uncharacterized. The transcript is spliced from 5 exons. The record is from RefSeq and is a predicted model, not a curated record. NCBI's taxonomy places the organism in Eukaryota, Metazoa, Chordata, Aves, Passeriformes, Passerellidae.
AGAUGCCAAGAAGACACACCACAGUGAUGGUCCCUAUGAUUCUGAUGUCGUUGAACUCAUCUACCAUCAGUGUAUCACUCUCCUGAAAGUGGUUAGAAAUGUUAUGAGAACCAGUCUUUCUCUGCCCAGCUGCUGGGACCAAGUAAGAAGCGCUGCUUUCUCCAUUGGCCACUCUCUCCACGGAGCCGGUGCUCACAGCAAUGUUCUGAGGGAUCACACAGAAAACAAAUACAUCUCUGGGCCAGGCAGAGGAAGACAUGACAGAAAAGAAUUCCAUAGAUCCUGUUUUACAGUCACUGGAGUAGAGAGCAAUAUUCUGCUCACACCAGGCAUCAGCAGAAUGGCUUAUUCUUCAUCUCUCCUGGGGCUAAAGAUGAUGAGCUCAUCAAAUCUCCAUAACAAGUGUGGAGAAUAGCCAAGAGGAAGAAAGGGUACAGAGCAGAGAACAAACUGCAGCUAGCAAAGGAAAUAUGCCUUUUAAAGUUGCAAGGAAGUGUUUCAUCUUCAGGCAUGAAGGAGCAAAGACAAGUC